AUCCAGAUGAGGAGUUUCAAAUAAGACGAAAUGCACAUCCUUAUGGAU
Molecule: non-coding RNA, 48 nt
Filed under: Trichobilharzia regenti
Lineage: Eukaryota; Metazoa; Platyhelminthes; Trematoda; Strigeidida; Schistosomatidae
Source: RNAcentral